This 367-nucleotide ribosomal RNA is filed under the name Parageobacillus thermoglucosidasius TNO-09.020. Its description in RNAcentral is "bacterial SSU rRNA". It matches the Rfam family "Bacterial small subunit ribosomal RNA", at positions 8 to 363 of the family's 1533-position model. The record is from RNAcentral. Lineage: Bacteria; Bacillati; Bacillota; Bacilli; Caryophanales; Anoxybacillaceae.
AGAGUUUGAUCCUGGCUCAGGACGAACGCUGGCGGCGUGCCUAAUACAUGCAAGUCGAGCGGACCGGGCGGGAGCUUGCUUCCGCUUGGUUAGCGGCGGACGGGUGAGUAACACGUGGGUAACCUGCCCGUAAGACCGGGAUAACUCCGGGAAACCGGGGCUAAUACCGGAUAACACCGAAGACCGCAUGGUCUUCGGUUGAAAGGCGGCUUCGGCUGCCACUUACGGAUGGGCCCGCGGCGCAUUAGCUAGUUGGUGAGGUAACGGCUCACCAAGGCAACGAUGCGUAGCCGGCCUGAGAGGGUGACCGGCCACACUGGGACUGAGACACGGCCCAGACUCCUACGGGAGGCAGCAGUAGGGAAUC